RNAcentral lists this ribosomal RNA (687 nucleotides) under uncultured bacterium. Its description in RNAcentral is "bacterial SSU rRNA". It matches the Rfam family "Bacterial small subunit ribosomal RNA", at positions 70 to 768 of the family's 1533-position model. The record is from RNAcentral.
CAGCAUAACUUAGCUUGCUAAGUUGAUGGCGACCGGCGCACGGGUGAGUAACACGUAUCCACCUGCCGAUGACUCGGGGAUAGCCUUUCGAAAGAAAGAUUAAUACCCGAUGGCUCCGCAUGGUUAAAGAAUUUCGGUCAUCGAUGGGGAUGCGUUCCAUUAGGUUGUUGGCGGGGUAACGGCCCACCAAGCCUUCGAUGGAUAGGGGUUCUGAGAGGAAGGUCCCCCACAUUGGAACUGAGACACGGUCCAAACUCAUACGGGAGGCAGCAGUGAGGAAUAUUGGUCAAUGGACGAGAGUCUGAACCAGCCAAGUAGCGUGAAGGAUGACUGCCUAUGGGUUGUAAACUUCUUUUAUACGGGAAUAAGUGAGGCACGUGUGCCUUUUUGUAUGUACCGUAUGAAUAAGGAUCGGCUAACUCCGUGCCAGCAGCCGCGGUAAUACGGAGGAUCCGAGCGUUAUCCGGAUUUAUUGGGUUUAAAGGGAGCGUAGGCGGACGCUUAAGUCAGUUGUGAAAGUUUGCGGCUCAACCGUAAAAUUGCAGUUGAUACUGGGUGUCUUGAGUACAGUAGAGGCAGGCGGAAUUCGUGGUGUAGCGGUGAAAUGCUUAGAUAUCACGAAGAACUCCGAUUGCGAAGGCAGCCUGCUGGACUGUAACUGACGCUGAUGCUCGAAAGUGUGGGUAU